This 497-nucleotide ribosomal RNA is filed under the name uncultured bacterium. RNAcentral describes it as "partial 16S ribosomal RNA". It matches the Rfam family "Bacterial small subunit ribosomal RNA", at positions 28 to 507 of the family's 1533-position model. The record is from RNAcentral.
GACGAGCGCUGGCGGCGUGCCUAAUACAUGCAAGUUGAGCGCUGAAGGUUGGUACUUGUACCAACUGGAUGAGCAGCGAACGGGUGAGUAACGCGUGGGGAAUCUGCCUUUGAGCGGGGGACAACAUUUGGAAACGAAUGCUAAUACCGCAUAAAAACUUUAAACACAAGUUUUAAGUUUGAAAGAUGCAAUUGCAUCACUCAAAGAUGAUCCCGCGUUGUAUUAGCUAGUUGGUGAGGUAAAGGCUCACCAAGGCGAUGAUACAUAGCCGACCUGAGAGGGUGAUCGGCCACAUUGGGACUGAGACACGGCCCAAACUCCUACGGGAGGCAGCAGUAGGGAAUCUUCGGCAAUGGACGAAAGUCUGACCGAGCAACGCCGCGUGAGUGAAGAAGGUUUUCGGAUCGUAAAACUCUGUUGGUAGAGAAGAACGUUGGUGAGAGUGGAAAGCUCAUCAAGUGACGGUAACUACCCAGAAAGGGACGGCUAACUACGUG